Long non-coding RNA from Ictalurus punctatus (channel catfish), 1880 nucleotides. Lineage: Eukaryota; Metazoa; Chordata; Actinopteri; Siluriformes; Ictaluridae. The record is from Ensembl.
UCAUUAUCAUGUUGUAGUUUUUGGGUUGAAACCAGAGAGAAAGAUGUUUUCCUGCGUUUUGGUAUCGUGGUCCGAGGUGAGGCUCCAAAAAACGUUUCUGCGUCUCCUCAAACGCGUUCACUUUAUAUGCUGAAGCGUCGAAUUUGUUACGUCUAAUAACUGCGGUUUCCGCGUCGAGAUAGACUGCGACUUAGGGGAAGUUCCACCCCUGCUCUUGCUUCUGAUAGUUUUUUUUACUUACGUAAGCUGUAGUACUCGGCCUCCCCGCUCUGAGAGCCAUUAAAAACGCCUGCCUGCGUGCAGGAUGUGUUGUGGACUGAGUUUAUCUGACAUGUACAUUUAUAAACAGCUGUGCGACAACAAAGUCAUCGGAAGACGGACUUUCUUCUCAGCAAAAUACAAGAAAUUAUUUCAAAAAGGAAAAUAUGAGUACAGCUCAAUACAUCUGUGACGGUAAGCUGAAUCUGCUGCUUUCUUUAAAUGACUACACUAUAUGGCCACAAUUUUGUGGGCAUCAGACCCAUGUGUCCUUGUAGAACAUCCCAUUCCAGAUUUAUUCCCCAUGUGCCAUUAUAAUAACCUCCACUCUUCUGGGAAGGCUUUGCACUAGAUUUUGGAGCGUGGCUGUGGGGAUUUGUGCUCAGUCAUCCACAAAUGCAUUAGUGACGAGGUAUUGUAAUGCUGGAACAUCAGUCUCAGUCUUAGUUCCAGUCAAGGAAAAUUGUAAUGCGGCACCAUACAAAUACAUUCUAGACAAUUGUGUACGUCCAAAUUUGUGACCACAUACAGUGUAGAUUAGACAUGGUGCACGUCAUAUGAUCAGACAAUAUUUAUAAUAAUUAGCCACUAUUUGUGUUGGUUUGUCUCGCGCUCCAGUAGGGCUCGCGCUCCCGUGGCGACUGUUUGUCUAUACUGCUUGAGCAGAGACUCCGAUAUUUUAAGGAAUUUCAUCUCAGACUCUCAUCGGCUGUUUGUUAGCUGUACUUGCUACUAUUCGCGGAGAGGUUCACACUACACGAUUCAUUCUAGAGAAUAACAUGCUGGAAAAUACCUGGAAAAUACAUAAUGCAUUAACUAUGAACUAAUUUGUUUUGUUGAUUGUUUCUCCUUGACUCAGGUGUGUGCACUGCAGUGCUCAGCGGUGUGUCUGAGAUCUGCGAGAUGCUCGUGAACGUCUUCGCAUGUGGAGGUGUGUGUGUCAGUCAUCCGUAGCAUUUAACACCCGAGAUGUCCAAUAUCAAUAUUUUAGAGAAAUACAUGAUCAGGAUGUAGCAGCAGAUCAUUCCGCAGAGUCAGGAGAAGAAGUUGUGAGACUUUCAGUGGAGGAAACUGGACCGGCCGGGACCCAACACUCAGUGCGUCCUUUCUUCUCCACAGAUCCAUGAGACACCUCCUCCGUCAUGACAUGGAUCCCAACCUUGAGGUCACUCCAGUGCCAGUCUUCCACGUGUCCUGCUGUGGUCAUUUCACCAACUUUUGGUGUUAUCAAUUUGGUGUUAUCAUGGCAUGCUUAAUUUUAGCGGAGACGUUAGCCACAGCUUUAUACUCGCUCGCUUCGGUUUUUUACUUGUUGCUCUGUAAUCAUAUUUCUUGCCGUGACCAAUUUAAAAAAAAUGGCUGAACAGAUCUGUGUUGCUAAUACUCUAUAACGUGUCUUUUUAAUACAUCAAAGAGAAGUAGGGGUUGGCUGCUAUUUUUCUUGGGGAUUGUUUUAAAUAGAUAUAGUGCAUAUACACUCGAAUCAAUAUUACAUUUGAAAUACAAUGUGUAUAAUAGUGUAUUAUAAUAUAUAAUAACAUAAUAGUUUUAUAUUGUUUAACAUUCUAAAUAAUUUUGUACUUACAUAGACAUAUGUUUUGUUUAUUAUUUAUAAUAUUGGA